CGAUUUGGGCAUAUCUUCUUCUUCGUCAUUCUUUACUCUUUUUCAUUCUCAGUUCCUUCCUGGUCUCUUCACUCAUCUCAUCGCCUGCUUCUAUUGUUGUCUUUGGGUUCUGUAAUUUUUAGGUGCAAAUAAACGGCCAUCUGUAACUCUAGAAGUUUCUUCACUUUCUUUUAUCUUCAUUUUCCUCCUACCUAUCUCUUUUUCUCUUCAAAUUUUAGUGUCCUCUCACUUUAUAUCCCUUUUUGUAUUUUCCAUUGAGUUUUAUAGUAUUCUGGUGAGUAUUUUGUGUUUUGUAUUUUCCUUUGUCCUUUUUCAUUUUAAACGUGUCCAUUAAUAAACAACACCCAACUUGCUCUUCUUCUCCCUUGUAAUCUGAAAGCAUUUUUCUUCUCUUUCUUUCUCUUGUGGUGGGUGGUUGUCCGUUUGAUUCUUAGCUUUGUGUUAUUUUGUAAAGUUAGCAGCGUCUUUUCGGAUUUUUUUUGAUUUACAGAAGCAUAACUUAUAAACUCAAAUAUUACAGUCAAGAAAAGGGAGGGGAAGUCCUUUUCUUUGUGGGGGAAAUGCAUCAAUCGACGAGAUAUAUUUUCCUAAAACUUCUCCUGGCUUAAACAUAACAUGCAUGUGGCUAUUUUUUUGUGAAUUUAGGUUUGUCGAUGUAGCGAUUUCUGUAUUUAUCUUUUUCGAUUCUAUUUAAUGUGAUACUGACUACCUUUUCGUUUCCUCUUAUUUGAGUUAUGCUUUACUCUGCACCGCCGCAUCUUAUGGGGUAGGCGUCUAGAAAAGAUUGGAGUAAAGGGUGCUUUCCCCUACAAAUUGGCUGAAAGUGAUGUCGGACUGGUGGAGGAUUUUGUUGAAAUCUACCACAACGGCAUACGAUAUGCAGUGGCUUGCCUUCAGGAAAAAUUAAAAAGCUUUUAGGAAUAUAAGUUCCUCCAUUGCAUAAUUUGGAACACAGAUUCAAGCCGUUUGGAAGUUGAUACGCGCAGAAUGGAAUUUCUGGAGCA
Nicotiana tabacum (common tobacco) is the source of this 1004-nucleotide non-coding RNA. The record is from RefSeq and is a predicted model, not a curated record. Lineage: Eukaryota; Viridiplantae; Streptophyta; Magnoliopsida; Solanales; Solanaceae.